Molecule: ribosomal RNA, 1467 nt
Filed under: metagenome
Description: bacterial SSU rRNA
Rfam family: Bacterial small subunit ribosomal RNA
Source: RNAcentral
AGAGUUUGAUCCUGGCUCAGGACGAACGCUGGCGGCGCGCCUAACACAUGCAAGUCGAACGAGCGAGAGAGAGCUUGCUUUCUCGAGCGAGUGGCGAACGGGUGAGUAACGCGUGAGGAACCUGCCUCAAAGAGGGGGACAACAGUUGGAAACGACUGCUAAUACCGCAUAAGCCCACGGCUCGGCAUCGAGCAGAGGGAAAAGGAGCAAUCCGCUUUGAGAUGGCCUCGCGUCCGAUUAGCUAGUUGGUGAGGUAACGGCCCACCAAGGCAACGAUCGGUAGCCGGACUGAGAGGUUGAACGGCCACAUUGGGACUGAGACACGGCCCAGACUCCUACGGGAGGCAGCAGUGGGGAAUAUUGCACAAUGGGGGAAACCCUGAUGCAGCGACGCCGCGUGGAGGAAGAAGGUCUUCGGAUUGUAAACUCCUGUUGUUGAGGAAGAUAAUGACGGUACUCAACAAGGAAGUGACGGCUAACUACGUGCCAGCAGCCGCGGUAAAACGUAGGUCACAAGCGUUGCCCGGAAUUACUGGGUGUAAAGGGAGCGCAGGCGGGAAGACAAGUUGGAAGUGAAAUCCAUGGGCUCAACCCAUGAACUGCUUUCAAAACUGUUUUUCUUGAGUGGUGCAGAGGUAGGCGGAAUUCCCGGUGUAGCGGUGGAAUGCGUAGAUAUCGGGAGGAACACCAGUGGCGAAGGCGGCCUACUGGGCACCAACUGACGCUGAGGCUCGAAAGUGUGGGUAGCAAACAGGAUUAGAUACCCUGGUAGUCCACACUGUAAACGAUGAUUACUAGGUGUUGGAGGAUUGACCCCUUCAGUGCCGCAGUUAACACAAUAAGUAAUCCACCUGGGGAGUACGACCGCAAGGUUGAAACCCAAAGGAAUUGACGGGGGCCCGCACAAGCGGAGGAACAUGUGGUUUAAUUCGAUGAUACGCGAGGAACCUUACCCGGGCUUGAAUUGCAGAGGAAGGAUUUGGAGACAAUGACGCCCUUCGGGGUCUCUGUGAAGGUGCUGCAUGGUUGUCGUCAGCUCGUGCCGUGAGGUGUCGGCUUAAGUGCCAUAACGAGCGCAACCCCUCUCCUUAGUUGCCAUCAGGUUAAGCUGGGCACUCUGGGGACACUGCCACCGUAAGGUGUGAGGAAGGUGGGGAUGACGUCAAAUCAGCACGGCCCUUACGUCCGGGGCUACACACGUGUUACAAUGGCAGGUACAGAGAGACGGUUGUACGUAAGUACGAUCAAAUCCUUAAAGCCUGUCUCAGUUCGGACUGGGGUCUGCAACCCGACCCCACGAAGCUGGAUUCGCUAGUAAUCGCGCAUCAGCCAUGGCGCGGUGAAUACGUUCCCGGGCCUUGUACACACCGCCCGUCAAGCCAUGAAAGCCGGGGGCGCCUAAAGUCCGUGACCGUAAGGAGCGGCCUAGGGCGAAACUGGUAAUUGGGGCUAAGUCGUAACAAGGUA